This is a non-coding RNA of Caretta caretta (loggerhead turtle), 3597 nucleotides long. Lineage: Eukaryota; Metazoa; Chordata; Testudines; Cheloniidae. The record is from RefSeq and is a predicted model, not a curated record.
GGGCCAGCGAUCCCCCCCCCCGGGGCCCUGCGCGCCGCAGAGCGCUGCGGAGCCGGGACGCGGGAGCUAGACUCGGCGGGAGCGGCAGCUCCUCUGAUUCUAAAAGCCCAGGGAUGAAGCAGUUGCCAGCUGAAACUGUCCGGCUCCUUUCAAGUUCUCAAGUGAUCACAUCAGUUGUUAGUGUAGUGAAGGAGCUGAUAGAGAAUUCCUUGGAUGCCAAUGCCACAAGCAUUGAUGUUAAACUGGAGAAUUAUGGGUUUGAUAAAAUAGAGGUGCGAGACAAUGGUGAUGGCAUCAAAGCUGCUGAUGUUCCAGUUAUGGCAGUUAAGCAUUAUACCUCAAAAAUAAGCUGUCCGGAGGAUCUUGAAAGCUUGACAACCUAUGGCUUUCGUGGUGAAGCCUUGGGAUCAAUUUGCUGCAUAUCUGAGGUUUUGAUCACAACAAAGACAGCUGCUGAUGAUUUUAGCACCCAGUACAUCUUGGAUAGCAGUGGGCAUGUAACUUCUCAGAAGCCUUCUCAUCUUGGGCAAGGUACAACUGUAGCUGCACUGAAGCUGUUUAAGAAUCUUCCUGUAAGAAAACAGUUUUACUCAACAGUUAAAAAAUGUAAGGAGGAAUUUAAAAAAAUCCAAGAUCUUUUGAUGGCGUAUGGCAUCAUAAAGCCAGAACUACGGAUAAUCUUUACACAUAACAAGGCAGUUAUUUGGCAAAAGACCAGGGUGUCAGAUCACAAAAUGUCCUUUAUGUCAGUUCUGGGAACUGCCGUUAUGGGCAGCAUGGUACCUUUUCAACAUCACUGUGAAGAUCCUGAGGUAUUUCUGUCUGGAUUUCUUCCAAAACCUGAAUCAGACAAUUCUUUGACAAGUCUUUCAAGUUCAGAAAGGAGUUUCAUCUAUAUAAACAGUCGGCCAGUACAUCAAAAGGAAAUAUUAAAGCUGGUUCGACAGUACUAUAAUCUGAAGUCACAUAAAGAUUCUUCUCGUUCGUACCCUGUUUUCUUUAUUCAUAUUACUGUACCUGCCUCCGCUGUGGAUGUUAAUUUAACACCUGAUAAAACUCAAGUUUUACUUCAUAAUAAGGAAUCUGUCUUAUCCGCUGUUGAAAAUGUAUUGACAUCACUGUAUGGGCUACUACCUGGAACAGUUUCUUGUGAAACUAAUAAAACAGAUGUUACCCCAGUGGACAUGGUUGUUAAUGAAACAGAACAAACAGAUGUGCUUGUUAAUAAAAUGGAACCAUUUGGGAAUAGUGAUCCACAUGCACAUACUUCAUCCUUUUCAUUCAGUAAUGAAGUGCAAAAUGGGCAAGCAGGAAAAAACACCGAGGUCUGCUUAAAUCAUCAAAGAUUUUCUAGUGAUAAUACUCAUGGUCUCCUCAAUAGAAAAGAAAUUUCUGGCACUGACGUGACUGUGAGUGAUAUAUCUCAAGACAGUUCCAUAAAUAAUUUAUCAUGUGAGGACAGCCAGAAUGGAUAUAGUGUAACAUUAACCCUAGAUGGCAGUACUCACAUGGACACUCAAUCUGAAAACAGAAGUGAGCAUCCUUUAAGAGCCGGUCACACUAAUGAAAUGGAAAAAAAUGAGGCAAAUACAGUCCCUGAGUAUGUAUCUGAAAUCUCUGCUGAUAAUUGGAGCAAGGGGAAUGCACUUAAAAAUCCUAGAGGAGAGAACCUGGAACCUGUAAAGAUUUUGAUACCUGAAGUAGGAGGAAUAACAAAUCAUAAGGCAAAUGAAAAUACUGGUGAACAAGAUCAUGAUCAGCAGAGUGCAAAUCAAAGUAUAAAAAAACCGAAUGUAAUUAAUGAUAAAGCAGGACAGAUCAUGGCCUAUGAUUUAAUUAGUAAUCAAAUAAUCCGGAAACCCAUGUCAGCAGUUGCCCUGUUCAACCAAGAAUAUCGUUCUAGAUUAUUAACUGAUAAUCCAAAGGCCAACAUGGAGGACUUGAUGCUGAAAAUUGAAGGACUAUGGGAGAAACUGAGCAGAGAGGAGAGAAAGAAGUAUGAAGAAAAAGCCACGAAAGACCUGGAACGAUACAACCACCAAACCAAGAAAGCUGUGGAGCAGAGAAUACAGAGAUCAACAAAAGAGACAGAAAAAAGAUACAAGCCCAAACUGAAGACUUCUCUCUCUGACCAGCAGAAACUUGACAAACUUUUUCAGUCUCAAAUUGAAAAGAAACACAGCCAUAACCAAGCUAUGAAAAUUGUACAGGUGCCCUUUUCUAUGAGUUCUUUCAAACGUCAACUUCAAAGGCUUGAGAAGAGAAAUUUUGAUAAAGACGAGUCUUGCCUGAUCUGUCACCUGAGUUUUCCUGAUGCAUGGGUAACUGCUUCUGAAAAAAAAAUCAUGUUGCUAAAUCCGUAUAGAGUGGAAGAAGCCCUACUUUAUAAAAAACUACUGGAGCAGCACAAACUUCCUGUAGAGAAACUGGACAAGCCAAUUGUAUUAACUGACAGUGAUGGUCCCUCACUCAAGAGCUCCAUGCACCUGAGACCAGAAGACUUAUUAGCGGUGCCCGUUGGUCUGUGCCUGCGUCUCCUUGUGCUCCAAACUGAGGGCAUAGGGAGUGGUGCAGAUUUCCUGCCUCUUCAGUUCCUUUGUACCAUCCAUGGUCUGUGACGGAAUCCCUCCAAUGUCCACAGCUUUACGAGCAUUCCUGCUUCAAUUUCAAAUAUUUCUGUAAAAAGUUUUUGCCUUUAUCUAGUUAGUUAGUGGUAGUGUUUAGUUAGCUAGUGUUAGUAGAGGUUUUGGGGGAAUUCCUCCACCCCAGUAUUCCCACUAUUUGGAGUACUUGGUAUGUCUAAGAUCCCUGGCUUCAAGAGCUAUGUGGCCUGUCCCCAGAUCUUCCCAGUUAGUGACUUCCAUGACACUUGUUUCUAUUGCCUGGGGAGAUCAACGUCCCCUCCAAGUUGCAAUAUUUGGCAUUCCUUUCCCCUCUGAACCUGGCAAUCUUGAGAGUUCCAGCUCUGAAGAUUCCUGCUGGAUUGCUCAAUCCCCCAGGCCAACCCUGAGUCAUCAUUGGUUGUAGAUGCUGAGAAGUGCCCGUCUGAAUGCAGUACUCCCCUGUUCUGGAUCAUGAGAGGUCAGAGCUAAGGACCUGAGCAGGCGCAGUAGAUGGGAGGAGAGUAAGAGCAAACACUCUCAUAAAAAGGAGAAAUCCCCUCCCAAGUCCUCAUCUAAGAAGAGGACUUCUUCCCCUGCACCCUCCCAAUCUGGUCAGACUCUGCAUCCUGUUACAGUUGUGUCAGGAUCUCAAGGGGAGCACAGGUCUGGCUCGUAGUAUAGGGAGCCAAAAGUGCUUUGAAAUCGCUGACCCCUGAAGGGGUGGGACCACCUCUAAUACCAGUAAGCAAAAGAAGGGAACGAUGCUGCCCACACCAACAGUACCAUCCCUCAUCAAAAAGGGGAUUUGGUGAUAUCCAUAUUCAUCACCUGACCUUAAUCAGCACCACUGGCUCUGUCAUGAGGUAGAUACGGACCACGCAACUCAAAACUCCAGCUACUGUAAGUUUGUUCAGCGGAUCUCAUUAUAUGGAUUCUCUCUACAAUAUGCCAAAGGAUUGCCAAAAAUUAAAUGGAUCAAUUUACUUGUCGGAUC